GGUUCACAUUAGACAUACAUGACACAUGGCAUAUGAUACACUGACUGCAUGGCAAUGUUCUCACAAUGAUGAAAAGCAUGUACUGCCAGUUUUCAAACUGACCAAGGAAUUAAAGAUAUAUCUCAGCUAUUCCAUUUCAUUAAUGCACAG
Molecule: non-coding RNA, 150 nt
Organism: Pseudonaja textilis
Lineage: Eukaryota; Metazoa; Chordata; Lepidosauria; Squamata; Elapidae
Source: RefSeq, a predicted model, not a curated record